GUUGCGCCGACACCUCCUCCCCUUCUCUCACGGCCUCUAAGAUCAUCCACAAAUCCUCCCUCUUCCCUAAUCUCCUUCCUUUUGCCUCUCAAUCACGAAUCAGGAUCCAUGGAGGUGCCCGACAAGUGCUACUCGAUCUGCUAUACGGCAGCGGCGGGGAACACCGGCCGUCGGUCUGCCUCUCGCUGCUCAUCCUCCGGGAGGCUGCGCGCGGAUGGAACUCGUUGUUGGCGAGGUUCCGCGGAGUACCAAGCAGGUGCUCUUCGCCGGCGGGGACGAGCAUGACCUUCUCUUCCCCGACCUCUUCACCCCCAAGGGCACCGGCCCCAAGAAGAUCCCUAGGUUGCCCUACAAGAACCUAGAGUGGCGGCUGCGAGGAGGUGGCCGAUGGGGUUCGGCGACCGGACGGGGGCAUGGGCGUCGGUCUUCCUCCUCCUGCUCCCUGUCGCAGGCACGGCCACCAUCGACCAGAUCUUCACCACAACCCCUCGCACCACCUUGCCGCCGCUGUGUCCUCUAGGACUGAGCUGUGGGAGGAGUGCCUACGGAAGGCCACAGAGCACAGGCCAUCGCCCACGCCCUCUUCUCACUGCUGACCACCAAGUAUAUGAGGCACGCCUGGUGGUGUCAAGUACUUUGGCGAGCUGGAGGAACAUUGCUUUCUAGGGCAAUGAAGUGAAGCUCUACGAACACCAUGUGGAUAAGCUCUUCACAAUGUUUGGACACAAAGAGCCAAAGAUCGACUAUUAUGUCUGCACCAUCAACAAGACGUUUGGCAAACCAGGCC
This is a long non-coding RNA of Triticum aestivum (bread wheat), 787 nucleotides long. RefSeq lists it as uncharacterized. The record is from RefSeq and is a predicted model, not a curated record. The transcript is spliced from 3 exons. Lineage: Eukaryota; Viridiplantae; Streptophyta; Magnoliopsida; Poales; Poaceae.